UGGGGAAUAUUGCACAAUGGGCGCAAGCCUGAUGCAGCAACGCCGCGUGAACGAUGAAGGUCUUCGGAUCGUAAAGUUCUGUUGCAGGGGAAGAUAAUGACGGUACCCUGUGAGGAAGCCCCGGCUAACUACGUGCCAGCAGCCGCGGUAAUACGUAGGGGGCUAGCGUUAUCCGGAUUUACUGGGCGUAAAGGGUGCGUAGGUGGUCCUUCAAGUCGGUGGUUAAAGGCUACGGCUCAACCGUAGUAAGCCGCCGAAACUGGAGGACUUGAGUGCAGGAGAGGAAAGUGGAAUUCCCAGUGUAGCGGUGAAAUGCGUAGAUAUUAGGAGGAACACCAGUAGCGAAGGCGACUUUCUGGACUGCAACUGACACUGAGGCACGAAAGCGUGGGUAGCAAACAGG
This 403-nucleotide ribosomal RNA is filed under the name Verrucomicrobiota bacterium. RNAcentral describes it as "Verrucomicrobia bacterium partial 16S ribosomal RNA". It matches the Rfam family "Bacterial small subunit ribosomal RNA", at positions 355 to 776 of the family's 1533-position model. The record is from RNAcentral. Lineage: Bacteria; Pseudomonadati; Verrucomicrobiota.